CGGGAUAGCUCACCGGUAGAGCAGAGGACUGAAA
This 34-nucleotide transfer RNA is filed under the name Physacanthus batanganus. RNAcentral describes it as "partial tRNA-Phe". The record is from RNAcentral. Lineage: Eukaryota; Viridiplantae; Streptophyta; Magnoliopsida; Lamiales; Acanthaceae.